GCACCGGCAGCGGGUUCCAGCGCAGCCGGUUCGGGUCCGGCACGGCCUGGUUGAAGGGCGCGGUGCGGAUCGUGCCGUUGCCC
Molecule: transfer RNA, 83 nt
Filed under: Streptomyces coelicolor
Lineage: Bacteria; Bacillati; Actinomycetota; Actinomycetes; Kitasatosporales; Streptomycetaceae
Also listed under: 5 other names
Description: tRNA-Pro
Source: RNAcentral